RNAcentral lists this small RNA (833 nucleotides) under Histoplasma ohiense. Its description in RNAcentral is "hypothetical lncRNA". The record is from RNAcentral. Lineage: Eukaryota; Fungi; Ascomycota; Eurotiomycetes; Onygenales; Ajellomycetaceae.
CUGCUCUGUCAUAUUCCUCCGAUCCGAUCGCCAUCUCAGCAGAUUCCAAAGUUGCAUUCCUACGCGUUGCUACUACUACAACUACGACAAUAAUGGCUGUGAUUAUGACUGGCCGCGUCUAGAGUCGAUCGAGUGCCUCCGCCCCUGAAGAGUCACGUUGCCCUUGUAUGAUGAGCCGAGUGCACGCCACCCGCCUCGGUAUACAUAUCAACCUGCGCUCUCCGCUGCUUGGUACCUGCAUAUAGAUCCAGUUAUAUAAUCUUGUUGUUGCCCUCUUAUAACAUCCCUACCAGACCUCAGCUCUCCCUUUUGCCUCUCCUCCCUUCCACUCCCUUAUGCCUACCUCUACAUAUCGCCUACCGACAUACAUACAACUUUGGAACCGUCUACUGCUGGUGAUCGGAUAUCGCCCUUGACACCAAUAAUACUCUUACCCUCUCCUCCCUUUUUUUUUUCUUGCGGCGCAAUUUACAUCGUCCACCAAACUGCCUUCCUUUUUCUCGUUUAUUUCCUGCCUGGAAUCCCGAUUCACCUAAACCUAAUUGCGGCUUAUCCCUUAGCCCAUCCCUUACAUCAAAUUUAGGAAGUACCUCUGCUUUCACCCUGGGUUCUGCCAUAGUAUAGAGAGGGCUCCCCGUCUCCUCUCGAACAAUUACCAAGACGGGACUAUCCUACUGCAUAUCUUACACGGCCUUUAUCUAAACGGUUUAUUUCCCCCUCUUCCGCACAACAGACAAUAAACGCACUGGCGUUUUGACCGAAUCGCCCGUUCCAUCGUCCAGGCACAUUGUUGAACGAUAUUUAAAAAGCUUUGCACUCCCUCUCCACUACCC